CAUUUCUAAGCACAAUAAUGCCAAGUUAAAGUGAACUUGUGCUCAUCCUGGGCGUCGGUCUGGCAGAUUUCUACUAUUUGUAUACGAUUUUGUUAGUUUAAUUUUGUUUUUCCUUACAGUUAUAUUGUACUUGUUGUUCUGAAUAACAAAACAGGAACACACGCAAGAACGAUGAAACAAGAGUUGAGAGCAGUUCUUAUUGGAAGGCAACACUGUGGGAAAACAUCGGUGAUCAACACUAUAUUGGAAACCAGAACAGAAGCUGAAGGAGAUGAGCAUGUGAAGAGAGAGGGAUUUAUUGAUGACAGGAGAGUCAGUCUUGUUGAAACUCCUGGCUGGUGGAAAACCUUCAAUCCAAUCGAUUAUUCCAACCUCUCCAAACUGCAGCUGAUUCGCAGGACUUAUCUGAUUUCACCUGGACCUCAUGCGGUUCUGAUUGUGAUUCGGGCCGAUUCUGCAUUUACUGACACCGAUUGGAGGUUUCUGGAGGAGCAUUUGGAGCUGCUUGGUCCCAAUGUCUGGACUCACACCCUAAGGUACAGUUAAAUUUACAGUUGUUUCAGCAAAUGUUGGCAGUCGAUAUUCAUUUAUAAUUCUGUUUGUUGUUUGGUUGAAAAAAAAAGUUUUAAUAUUUAAACUUUAAUCUGGUCUGCCUCAGCUGUCUAACAGAGCUAGUCAAUGUCAAAAUGUCCGAGAUGACCAAUCAAAUUGAAGAGGGCGGGGCUUUAUUGUUCUUUUUACUGUGCUUUACUUUUUCUGAAUUCCAAUGCAACACUUCAGUUUUUAACAUGGAAAAAGUGUGAGAAAAUAUUUAAGUGGACCAGCUGAACAUUUAAUAUUUAACAAUGAUUUUACGAUAGAAAUGUUUAACAAUAUAUGUUAAUAUCCAGUGAUGCAAACUACUUGAUUUUUUUUUUUUUAAAUAUUGCAGAUUUUAAUUAAAAAAUAUGAGCUGAAUCAAUCAAAUCAAAUUUAAUUCUACAUUUGCCAUUUGUAGUUUUGGGUUUUCGUUUUGUUAAUGUUUCGGUUUGUUAAUAGACAAUUUUCCAUGGUCUUUCUCUGUUAUCCCAGGAAACCGAGCUUAUGUUAGUAACCAGACUGUUCCCUUUCGAAACGGUCUCUCACAUUACACUUACCACACUAGGUGAACAAUUUAUCCAAUAGCGCUGUGCUAUAAGCGCAGAAGGAAAAGCUGUCCUGCGAGCCCAGCCCUAGGGUGCCCAGGGUGAGGGUCCUAAGGGAACAUGGGCAAGUAAGGGCAUAAGUAACCAGGAAUUGAUUUCUCCCCAGAGAAAUAGCCCUGAUCACCAGCAGGGCUACAAGAUGGCUAGAUGAACCAAAUCCAUGCCUGAAGGGCAGGGAUGUCCAGGUUGUAAAACCUAGUAAACAUUCACAAUGGAGACCAGCCGGCUGCCGCACAGAUCUUUUAAAUGGAGAUAACACUGGACCAAGCCCAGGAGGAGGUCUUUCCCCUGGUGGAAUGAGCCCCG
This is a long non-coding RNA of Cyprinus carpio (common carp), 1490 nucleotides long. NCBI's taxonomy places the organism in Eukaryota, Metazoa, Chordata, Actinopteri, Cypriniformes, Cyprinidae. The record is from Ensembl.